This 274-nucleotide ribosomal RNA is filed under the name uncultured bacterium. RNAcentral describes it as "partial 16S ribosomal RNA". It matches the Rfam family "Bacterial small subunit ribosomal RNA", at positions 523 to 796 of the family's 1533-position model. The record is from RNAcentral.
ACACGGAGGGUGCGAGCGUUGUUCGGAAUCACUGGGCGUAAAGCGGGUGUAGGCGGUCUAGCAAGACAGAUGUGAAGGUCCAGGGCUCAACCCUGGAAGUGCAUCUGAAACUGUUAGACUUGAGUACUGGAGAGGGAGGUGGAAUUCCUGGUGUAGGGGUGAAAUCCGUAGAUAUCAGGAGGAACACCGGUGGCGAAGGCGACUUCCUGGACAGAUACUGACGCUCAGACCCGAAAGCGUGGGGAGCAAACAGGAUUAGAUACCCGGGUAGUCC